GAUGAACGCUGGCGGCGUGCUUAACACAUGCAAGUCGAGCGAUGAAGUCGAGCUUGCUGGCUGGAUUAGUGGCGAACGGGUGCGUAACACGUGAGUAACUUGCCAUUAACCCUUUCAUAAGCCGGGGACACUGGGACUAUUACCGGAUAGGAGCGUGCACUGCAUGGAGGGUGUUGGAAUGGUUUAUCGGUUUUGGAUGGACUCGCGGCCUAUCAGCUUGUUGGUGGGGUCAUGGCUCAGCAAGGCGACGACGGGUAGGCGGCCUGAGAGGGUGACCGACCACACGGCGACUGAGACACGGCACGGAGUCGUGCGGGAGACAGCAGUGUGGAAUAUUGCACGAUGGAGCCAAGCAGGGUGCAGCAUCGCCGCGUGAGGGGUGACGGCCUUCUGUUAGUAGGCGUCUAUCAGUAGGGAAGGAGCGAUAUUGACGGUACCGGCAGAAGAAGCACCGGCUAACUACGUG
Molecule: ribosomal RNA, 466 nt
Filed under: uncultured bacterium
Lineage: Bacteria
Description: partial 16S ribosomal RNA
Rfam family: Bacterial small subunit ribosomal RNA
Source: RNAcentral